Molecule: ribosomal RNA, 509 nt
Filed under: uncultured bacterium
Lineage: Bacteria
Description: bacterial SSU rRNA
Rfam family: Bacterial small subunit ribosomal RNA
Source: RNAcentral
CUGGUCAGAACGAACGCUGGCGGCGCGUUUAAGCAUGCAAGUCGAGCGGCAAGGGCCUUCGGGCCCCUAGAGCGGCGGACGGGUGAGUAACACGUGGACAAUCUGCCCCCCGGCCCGGGAUAGCCCAGGGGAAACCUGGAUUAAUACCGGAUGAGACGGGACCCGCGAUGGCGGGACCCGGGAAAGGCGCUGCGGCGCCGCCGGGGGAUGAGUCUGCGUCCCAUUAGCUAGACGGCGGGGUAACGGCCCACCGUGGCGACGAUGGGUAGCCGGCCUGAGAGGGUGGACGGCCACAUUGGAACUGAGACACGGUCCAGACUCCUACGGGAGGCAGCAGCUAAGAAUCUUCCGCAAUGGGCGAAAGCCUGACGGAAGCGACGCCGCGUGAACGAAGAAGGCCGUGAGGUUGUAAAGUUCUUUUCGGGAGGGGGAACAACCGUGGCAGGGAAUGGCCGCGGGAUGACGUGAAUCCCGGAAUAAGCCCCGGCUAACUACGUGCCAGCCGCCGC